UCCAUCGUAGUCUAGGUGGUUAGGAUACUCGGCUCUCACCCGAGAGAACCGGGUCCAAGUCCGGCAACGGAA
RNAcentral lists this transfer RNA (72 nucleotides) under Triticum urartu. It matches the Rfam family "tRNA". Rfam says of the family: Transfer RNA (tRNA) molecules are approximately 80 nucleotides in length. Their secondary structure includes four short double-helical elements and three loops (D, anti-codon, and T loops). The record is from Rfam by way of RNAcentral. Lineage: Eukaryota; Viridiplantae; Streptophyta; Magnoliopsida; Poales; Poaceae.